AUUGAACGCUGGCGGCAGGCCUAACACAUGCAAGUCGAGCGGAUGAAGGGAGCUUGCUCCUGGAUUCAGCGGCGGACGGGUGAGUAAUGCCUAGGAAUCUGCCUGGUAGUGGGGGAUAACGUCCGGAAACGGGCGCUAAUACCGCAUACGUCCUGAGGGAGAAAGUGGGGGAUCUUCGGACCUCACGCUAUCAGAUGAGCCUAGGUCGGAUUAGCUAGUUGGUGGGGUAAAGGCCUACCAAGGCGACGAUCCGUAACUGGUCUGAGAGGAUGAUCAGUCACACUGGAACUGAGACACGGUCCAGACUCCUACGGGAGGCAGCAGUGGGGAAUAUUGGACAAUGGGCGAAAGCCUGAUCCAGCAAUGCCGCGUGUGUGAAGAAGGUCUUCGGAUUGUAAAGCACUUUAAGUUGGGAGGAAGGGCAGUAAGUUAAUACCUUGCUGUUUUGACGGUACCGAAAGAAUAAGCACCGGCUAACUUCGUG
Molecule: ribosomal RNA, 484 nt
Filed under: uncultured bacterium
Lineage: Bacteria
Description: partial 16S ribosomal RNA
Rfam family: Bacterial small subunit ribosomal RNA
Source: RNAcentral